UAUUGGUCAAUGGCCGGGAGGCUGAACCAGCCAAGUCGCGUGAGGGAAGACGGCCCUACGGGUUGUAAACCUCUUUUGUCAGGGAGCAAGAGGCGGGUCGGGACCUGCUGUGAGAGUACCUGAAGAAAAAGCAUCGGCUACCUCCGUGCCAGUAGCCGCGGUAAUACGGAGGAUGCGAGCGUUAUCCGGAUUUAUUGGGUUUAAAGGGUGCGUAGGCGGAAUGCCAAGUCAGCGGUAAAAUCGCGGGGCUCAACCUCGCUCCGCCGUUGAAACUGGCGUUCUUGAGUGGGCGAGAAGUAUGCGGAAUGCGUGGUGUAGCGGUGAAAUGCAUAGAUAUCACGCAGAACUCCGAUUGCGAAGGCAGCAUACCGGCGCCCAACUGACGCUGAGGCACGAAAGCGUGGGUAUCG
Molecule: ribosomal RNA, 410 nt
Filed under: uncultured bacterium
Lineage: Bacteria
Description: bacterial SSU rRNA
Rfam family: Bacterial small subunit ribosomal RNA
Source: RNAcentral